This 500-nucleotide unclassified non-coding RNA is filed under the name uncultured Glomus. RNAcentral's name for it is "SSU rRNA". It matches the Rfam family "Eukaryotic small subunit ribosomal RNA", at positions 591 to 1092 of the family's 1831-position model. The record is from RNAcentral. Lineage: Eukaryota; Fungi; Glomeromycota; Glomeromycetes; Glomerales; Glomeraceae.
CCAAUAGCGUAUAUUAAAGUUGUUGCAGUUAAAAAGCUCGUAGUUGAAUUUCGGGAUCAAUAUAUCGGUCGUGCCAUUGGUACGUACUGGUAUCAUUGGUUUCUCCUUUCUGACGAACCAUGAUGUCAUUAAUUUGGUGUUAUGGGAAGUUAGGACUGUUACUUUGAAAAAAUUAGAGUGUUUAAAGCAGGCUUUAGCUUGAAUACAUUAGCAUGGAAUAAUGAAAUAGGACGUUCGAACCUAUUUUGUUGGUUUCUAGGAUCAACGUAAUGAUUAAUAGGGAUAGUUGGGGGCAUUAGUAUUAAAUUGUCAGAGGUGAAAUUCUUGGAUUUAUUGAAGACUAACUACUGCGAAAGCAUUUGCCAAGGAUGUUUUCAUUAAUCAAGAACGAAAGUUAGGGGAUCGAAGACGAUCAGAUACCGUCGUAGUCUUAACCAUAAACUAUGCCGACUAGGGAUCGGAUGAUGUUAAUUUUUUAAUGACUCAUUCGGCGCCUUACG